RNAcentral lists this long non-coding RNA (752 nucleotides) under Equus asinus (donkey). RNAcentral describes it as "lncRNA (ENSEASG00005029608.1)". The record is from RNAcentral. Lineage: Eukaryota; Metazoa; Chordata; Mammalia; Perissodactyla; Equidae.
GGGGUGGGGGAGGCUGGGGCUGGGUGUGGGGACUGGGCCUGGCCAAGCAACGUGAGGGCAGACUGGAACCAGGGAGACAAGGCCCAGCCAGGGCACAAAGCAGGGGAGACUAGCUCUGUCCUGAAGCAGAACAGGCGAGGGCAGGCCAAGGCAGCUGCAGGAGCCAGGAGGGGUCCCCGGAGGGGACGAGGAGCCCAUUCCUGAAGGGGACGGUACCAGCCCACGUGAUGGCAAGCAGCAACCGCAAGAAGCCAAACAGAGGACUUGUGGGAUUUUAAAAGUACGACUGCUAUCACAGGGAGCAGGGAGCUGGUCUGCAAAAUGUUUCAAGUCUAUAAACGAGGGUUUGUGUUCACAAAAGUCAGAAACUACUUUACAGACAGAGACCCCGAUACCCUAAGAGGAAACCUUCCCUGUCACUCAGAUUGACUCAGGCCCCUUCUUGUUCCCACUGCAGGAAUGGCAGAUCAGCCCUGAGCUAACAUCUGCUGCCAAUCCUCCUCUUUUCGCUGAGGAAGACUGGCCCUGAGCUAACAUCCGUGCCCAUCUUCCUCUACUUUAUACGUGGACGCCUACCACAGCAUGGCUUGCCAAGUGGUGCCAUGUCCGCACCCAGGAUCUGAACCGGUAAAUCCCGGGCCGCCCCGAAGCGGAAUGUGCGCACUUUACCACUGCGCCAUGGGGCCGGCCCCAAUGUUAAUUUUUUUAAAGAGCUAUAUAUAAGUGGUAUUAAAUGGAAAAAAAAGAAAAAC